AUUACCUUUGUGUUACCCUCUGAAAGCUUCCCCAAACAGUAGCUCCUUCACAGCAGCCUAUCAACGCCACCAUACAACUCUGCCUUGCUUACACUCUUUCUUUUCCCUUCUCUGCUGUGUCUUUCCUAAUGAUUAGAUCUCUGAGGUUAACAGCUGGGACAGAUAGCAAAGGCCAUGGGGAGGUCCAGGGAGGAAUGUACUGGGCACAGAAUCUUCUGGAAGGCCAGGAGACCUCCUCUGACUGGGACACAGCCUGCUAAUCAUGCUCCUUCCCUUCCCCUCUGGAUGCAUUUGAAUAUCGGAUAAACAGCUUCACCUGGUCAGCACAAAAGCUGAAACUCACGAAACUGAAAUCAGGAGGAUGCGAAGUUCAGUCAUCACCUGGUGGCAUAAGGGAGGCCAUAAGGAGGCUGGGAGCAUUCAGAGCUCAGAACUGCUGCUCCUGUUUUCUCCAAGGAUGGAAGAGAUGCUUCCUUGCACUACCCAGCUCUGCAAAGAGUGGCCGCUCUUUUACCUGGAGAGGCCACUCUAGGUGUGUGGAUGGAACUGGUCAUUACACUCUGCACUUUGCAGCAGGAAGGUCUGGGUGCUUCAGAGGAAGCUGUUUCUUUGGCAGGAUGCUCGAAAGCAGGAAGAUUUCAACCUUCCUAUACUAUCACCCUCUGUUUUGCCUUGACAUCUCAAGAAAGAAAGACUUCAGCUCCUGUGGAGACAAGUCAAAUUAUUUAAAUGAUUUUCAUCUAUUUUCACUAUGAAACAUUUUAAUCCAGGCUGCACAUGGGAGAUAUGUUCACUUUUGUUUCUAAAGCUUGUACAAUAUUGGAACCCUGUACUUUACUUGGGUCAUGAAGUAACUUGAUACACCGGGAAGAAGUGUAGAAAAUAGUUGAAUAUAAAAUAUGUUCUUAAGUUUAAUCUUAAUUAAACAUUACACUAGUUAGUUGUUUUAGUUUUGUCUAGACCCAGCUCAGGCUGGUAUGUUAAUUCCUGAUAAGACACGGCCUAGACUCCUCAGUGUUUGAGAAGACAUAGCUUCGCACAGUUCUCCUGGCUUGCAGAGCAAGGCUGAAUUCAGCCUGGCCCACCUGUUGGUGAUCCAAAGUAGUUCUUGCCCAGUGAGAGUGGGGUAUUAUUCACACACACACCUUGCACCUUUUGCCUUUGUGAACUUCUCUCUCUCCUCCACUUCACUGCCAGCAGAAUGGAAGUUCUGACCAUUGAGGCACCUGAGUGCAGGCCCCACAAAGACAACCCAGCAAACACACAAACAAAGAAAGGUUAGCGAGAGCUCCAAGACAUUCCUGAUAAACUCAGACCCUGACAAACUCAGUCCAAACUUCCUUGAUGGGGAGCAGUCAGCAGAACAAAGAAUGCCUAAUGGGUACAGAACAAAGGAACUGACCUUCCAUGAAAAUAGGAGUUAGU
This 1425-nucleotide long non-coding RNA is filed under the name Zonotrichia albicollis (white-throated sparrow). RNAcentral describes it as "lncRNA (ENSZALG00000016277.1)". Lineage: Eukaryota; Metazoa; Chordata; Aves; Passeriformes; Passerellidae. The record is from RNAcentral.